Molecule: ribosomal RNA, 253 nt
Filed under: uncultured bacterium
Lineage: Bacteria
Description: partial 16S ribosomal RNA
Rfam family: Bacterial small subunit ribosomal RNA
Source: RNAcentral
UACGUAGGUGGCAAGCGUUACUCGGAAUCACUAGGCGUAAAGCGCAGGUAGGAGGUUGGAUAAGUCUGUUGUGAAAGCUCCCGGCUUAACUGGGAGAGGUCAACGGAAACUAUCCGGCUAGAGUGCGGUAGAGGUAGCUGGAAUUCCCGGUGUAGCGGUGAAAUGCGUAGAUAUCGGGAGGAAUACCUAUGGCGAAAGCAGGCUACUGGACCGUCACUGACUCUGAUCUGCGAAAGCUAGGGGAGCAAACAGG